UACGUAGGGUGCGAGCGUUGUCCGGAAUUAUUGGGCGUAAAGAGCUUGUAGGUGGUUUGUCACGUCGUCUGUGAAAUUCCGGGGCUUAACUCCGGGCGUGCAGGCGAUACGGGCAUAACUUGAGUACUGUAGGGGAGACUGGAAUUCCUGGUGUAGCGGUGAAAUGCGCAGAUAUCAGGAGGAACACCGGUGGCGAAGGCGGGUCUCUGGGCAGUAACUGACGCUGAGGAGCGAAAGCAUGGGUAGCGAACAGGAUUAGAUACCCGCGUA
This 270-nucleotide ribosomal RNA is filed under the name uncultured prokaryote. Its description in RNAcentral is "partial 16S ribosomal RNA". It matches the Rfam family "Bacterial small subunit ribosomal RNA", at positions 524 to 792 of the family's 1533-position model. The record is from RNAcentral.